This 467-nucleotide ribosomal RNA is filed under the name uncultured bacterium. Its description in RNAcentral is "partial 16S ribosomal RNA". It matches the Rfam family "Bacterial small subunit ribosomal RNA", at positions 28 to 506 of the family's 1533-position model. The record is from RNAcentral.
GACGAACGCUGGCGGCGUGCUUAACACAUGCAAGUCGAACGGAAAGGCCCUGCUUUUGUGGGGUGCUCGAGUGGCGAACGGGUGAGUAACCCGUGAGUAACCUGCCCUUGACUUUGGGAUAACUUCAGGAAACUGGGGCUAAUACCGGAUAGGAGCUCCUGCUGCAUGGUGGGGGUUGGAAAGUUUCGGCGGUUGGGGAUGGACUCGCGGCUUAUCAGCUUGUUGGUGGGGUAGUGGCUUACCAAGGCUUUGACGGGUAGCCGGCCUGAGAGGGUGACCGGCCACAUUGGGACUGAGAUACGGCCCAGACUCCUACGGGAGGCAGCAGUGGGGAAUAUUGCACAAUGGGCGGAAGCCUGAUGCAGCAACGCCGCGUGCGGGAUGACGGCCUUCGGGUUGUAAACCGCUUUCGCCUGUGACGAAGCGUGAGUGACGGUAAUGGGUAAAGAAGCACCGGCUAACUACGU